Molecule: non-coding RNA, 333 nt
Organism: Musca domestica (house fly)
Lineage: Eukaryota; Metazoa; Arthropoda; Insecta; Diptera; Muscidae
Source: Rfam
GAGCCUGCGGCUUAAUUUGACUCAACACGGGAAAACUUUCCAGGUCCGAACAUAAGUGUGUAAGACAGAUUGAUAGCUCUUUCUCGAACCUAUAGGUGGUGGUGGGCUGUUCUUAGUUCGUGGAGUGAUUUAUCUGGUUAAUUGCGAUAACGGAUUUGCCGAAGCUGGUGCCGAAGCUUUUUCAUUUGCGAUCGCUGUAAAAUGCGUUAGUGGUUGAAUGUUUUUAUAGAAGUGGAGCCGUGCCUGAAUGGAAAUUGUGUCAAGCAAUAACGAGAUUGAGCAAUAACAGAUCUGUGAUGCGAGUUAAGAAAAUAGAAAAAAACACAUAAGUUC